GACGAACGCUGGCGGCGUGCUUAACACAUGCAAGUCGAACGGAAAGGCCCUGCUUUUGUGGGGUGCUCGAGUGGCGAACGGGUGAGUAACACGUGAGUAACCUGCCCUUGACUUUGGGAUAACUUCAGGAAACUGGGGCUAAUACCGGAUAGGAGCUCCUGCUGCAUGGUGGGGGUUGGAAAGUUUCGGCGGUUGGGGAUGGACUCGCGGCUUAUCAGCUUGUUGGUGGGGUAGUGGCUUACCAAGGCUUUGACGGGUAGCCGGCCUGAGAGGGUUACCAGCCACAUUGGGACUAGCAUAAGGCCAAGGCAUCUACGGAGUGCAGCAGUGCGGAAUACUGACCAAUGGACGGAAGCCUGAUGCAGCAACGCCGCGUGCGGGAUAACGCCCUUCGGGUUGUAAACCGCUUUCGCCUGUGACGAAGCGUGACUGACGGUACUGGGUAAAGAAACACCGGCUAACUACGUG
RNAcentral lists this ribosomal RNA (468 nucleotides) under uncultured bacterium. Its description in RNAcentral is "partial 16S ribosomal RNA". It matches the Rfam family "Bacterial small subunit ribosomal RNA", at positions 28 to 507 of the family's 1533-position model. The record is from RNAcentral.